AUGGAUAUACAGUCAGUUGCUACCAUCACUGAAUACAACUCCUUUGAAUACCAUGCCAUCCAGGUAACUGUACUGAAAAAAUUCUUUUUGGUUGUCGUGUAUCGCCAACCAGGUCAACUCAGAGACUUUCUUGAUGAACUCAACACCCUGCUCUCCUCCAUUUCUGAGCACGACUGUCCCACAGUGGUCCUUGGAGAUGUGAAUAUUCACCUGGACAAUCCCAGCUCAUCAGGCUUCCUGUCACUAAUGUCAUCAUUUGAUCUAAAACUAGUACAAAGUCCUCCAACUCACAAAGCUGGAAAAGCACUUGACCUCAUUUUCACCAGAAACUGUGCCGUAGACACAAUCUCUGUCACACCGCUGCAUCUUUCCGAUCAUUACUUCAUCCAUUUCAGCACGACUCUACAAGGGAGGUCCACUGCUUCCUCCCCAAUGGUCUCAUUCCGCCGCAACCUCCGCAAUCUGGCACCCAACCACUUCUCCUCUCUUGUUGCCUCCACUCUUCCAUCUCCCAGCACAUUCUCUGCUUAUGAAGUGAAUGAAGCCACCGAGUCACUCUGCUCCACACUCUGCUCUUGUCUUAACAACUUGUGCCCUUUAGCCACUAGACCUGCUAGAUCCUCUCAGUCGCACCCUUGGCUAAAUGAUACCCUCCGGUCUCUACGCACCAAUCUUAGAGCUGCGGAACGGAAAUGGCGCAAAACAAAAGAUCCUGGUGAUCAAUUGAAAUUUCAGGAAUUACUGUCCUCAUUCUCUGCCAGCAUCACUGAUGCAAAGAAAGCUUUCUACACUGACAAAAUUCUCAGCUCUACUGACUCUCAGAAACUAUUUUCAACAUUCAAAACUCUGCUCAACCCUCCAUCUCCACCUCCUACCAACAAUCUAUCAGCUGACACCUUUGCCUCAUUCUUCACUGACAAAGUGGCAGCUAUAAGCAAACAGUUUACUCAACUGGCCACUCCUGAACAUUCGCUACCACAAACUCCUUCUAGCCCAACCAUCUCAAGCCCUACUGCUUCAUUUUCCUCUUUUUCCCCUCUCACUGAGAACUGUGUGUCCAAGCUUCUCACGUGCAGCCGCCCUACUACAUGCCCACUUGACCCCAUUCCGACUAAGCUGCUCCAAGCUAUUGCUCCUACAGUAGCCGCAGCAGUCACAUAUGUGAUCAACGCUUCACUGACAUCUGGUACAUUUCCCACCUCUCUCAAGCAUGCUCAGGUUAAACCGCUGCUAAAAAAAAAAAUCUCUUCCUCCAAAUCAUGUGGAGAACUACCGACCUAUCUCUCUCCUCCCUUUUCUGUCCAAAAUCAUUGA
RNAcentral lists this long non-coding RNA (1314 nucleotides) under Nothobranchius furzeri (turquoise killifish). Its description in RNAcentral is "lncRNA (ENSNFUG00015005720.1)". Lineage: Eukaryota; Metazoa; Chordata; Actinopteri; Cyprinodontiformes; Nothobranchiidae. The record is from RNAcentral.